Molecule: ribosomal RNA, 454 nt
Filed under: uncultured bacterium
Lineage: Bacteria
Description: bacterial SSU rRNA
Rfam family: Bacterial small subunit ribosomal RNA
Source: RNAcentral
UACGGAAGGCAGCAGUGGGGAAUAUUGCACAAUGGGCGCAAGCCUGAUGCAGCCAUGCCGCGUGUAUGAAGAAGGCCUUCGGGUUGUAAAGUACUUUCAGUCGUGAGGAAGGUGUUAAGGUUAAUAACCUUAGCAAUUGACGUUAGCGACAGAAGAAGCACCGGCUAACUCCGUGCCAGCAGCCGCGGUAAUACGGAGGGUGCGAGCGUUAAUCGGAAUUACUGGGCGUAAAGGGCACGCAGGCGGUUAAUUAAGUUGGAUGUGAAAUCCCCGGGCUUAACCUGGGAAUGGCAUUCAAGACUGGUUAGCUAGAGUCUUGUAGAGGGGGUAGAAUUCCAUGUGUAGCGGUGAAAUGCGUAGAGAUGUGGAGGAAUACCGGUGGCGAAGGCGGCCCCUGGACAAAGACUGACGCUCAUGUGCGAAAGCGUGGGGAGCAAAACAGGGAUUAGAUACC